Molecule: ribosomal RNA, 292 nt
Filed under: uncultured bacterium
Lineage: Bacteria
Description: partial 16S ribosomal RNA
Rfam family: Bacterial small subunit ribosomal RNA
Source: RNAcentral
GUGUCAGCAGCCGCGGUAAGACGGAGGAGGCAAGCGUUAUCCGGAAUUAUUGGGCGUAAAGCGUCCGCAGGCGGCUUUUUAAGUCUGUUGUCAAAGCCCACAGCUCAACUGUGGAUCGGCAAUGGAAACUGAGAAGCUAGAGUGUGGUAGGGGUAGAGGGAAUUCCCGGUGUAGCGGUGAAAUGCGUAGAUAUCGGGAAGAACACCAGUGGCGAAGGCGCUCUACUGGGCCACAACUGACGCUGAGGGACGAAAGCUAGGGGAGCGAAAGGGAUUAGAAACCCUUGUAGUCC